RNAcentral lists this ribosomal RNA (433 nucleotides) under uncultured bacterium. RNAcentral's name for it is "bacterial SSU rRNA". It matches the Rfam family "Bacterial small subunit ribosomal RNA", at positions 355 to 796 of the family's 1533-position model. The record is from RNAcentral.
UCGAGGAUCUUCGGCAAUGGGCGCAAGCCUGACCGAGCGACGCCGCGUGGGCGACGAAGGCCUUCGGGUUGUAAAGCCCUGUCGGGGGGGAGGAAAGCCGCAAGGUCUGACCUAUCCCCGGAGGAAGCACGGGCUAAGUUCGUGCCAGCAGCCGCGGUAAGACGAACCGUGCGAACGUUGUUCGGAAUCACUGGGCUUAAAGGGCGCGUAGGCGGGCCACCAAGUCCGCGGUGAAAUCCCCCGGCUCAACCGGGGAGCGGCCGUGGAGACUGGGGGUCUAGAGGCGGGUAGGGGCGAGCGGAACUCUGGGUGGAGCGGUGAAAUGCGUUGAUAUCCAGAGGAACUCCGGUGGCGAAGGCGGCUCGCUGGACCUGAUCUGACGCUGAGGCGCGAAAGCCAGGGGAGCGAACGGGAUUAGAUACCCCCGUAGUCC